AGAGUUUGAUUAUGGCUCAGAUUGAACGCUGGCGGAAUGCUUUACACAUGCAAGUCGAACGAUGAACCUUAGCUUGCUAGGGGGAUUAGUGGCGGACGGGUGAGUAAUAUAUCGGAACGUGUCCAUUAAUGGGGGAUAACUAGCCGAAAGGUUGGCUAAUACCGCAUACGCCCUGAGGGGGAAAGCUGGGGAUCUUCGGACCUGGCGUUAAUGGAGCGGCCGAUAGCUGAUUAGCUAGUUGGUGGGGUAAAGGCCUACCAAGGCGACGAUCAGUAGCUGGUCUGAGAGGACGACCAGCCACACUGGGACUGAGACACGGCCCAGACUCCUACGGGAGGCAGCAGUGGGGAAUUUUGGACAAUGGGGGAAACCCUGAUCCAGCCAUUCCGCGUGAGUGAAGAAGGCCUUCGGGUUGUAAAGCUCUUUCGCAAGGGAAGAAAAGAUACAAGUUAAUAGCUUGUGUUGUUGACGGUACCUUGAUAAGAAGCACCGGCUAACUACGUGCCAGCAGCCGCGGUAAUACGUAGGGUGCGAGCGUUAAUCGGAAUUACUGGGCGUAAAGCGUGCGCAGGCUGUUUGGCAAGUCAGAUGUGAAAUCCCCGAGCUCAACUUGGGAACUGCGUUUGAAACUGCCAGACUAGAAUAGGUCAGAGGGGGGUAGAAUUCCACGUGUAGCAGUGAAAUGCGUAGAGAUGUGGAGGAAUACCAAUGGCGAAGGCAGCCCCCUGGGAUCAUAUUGACGCUCAUGCACGAAAGCGUGGGGAGCGAACAGGAUUAGAUACCCUGGGUAGUCCACGCCCUAAACGAUGUCAACUAGUUGUUGGUGGAGUAAAAUCCAUGAGUAACGUAGCUAACGCGUGAAGUUGACCGCCUGGGGAGUACGGUCGCAAGAUUAAAACUCAAAUGACUUGACGG
This 915-nucleotide ribosomal RNA is filed under the name uncultured bacterium. RNAcentral describes it as "bacterial SSU rRNA". It matches the Rfam family "Bacterial small subunit ribosomal RNA", at positions 8 to 916 of the family's 1533-position model. The record is from RNAcentral.